AUGUCAGGAGGGCCAGGGCCCUGGCUGGCACCCCUGCUGCGCGUCAUUCGCUUCCUCCAGCUCAACUGGGAGCAGCUCGCCACCGACAUCGAGGCCGGCACGCUCGCCCCGUGCGUGAGCGACGCGUCGGUGCGCGAGGCGGUUGCCGGCAUGCUCCGCCGCCCGGACCCCGAGCUCGCCCAGCUCGUCCGGGAUGAGUGCCGCACGGGCGAAUGGGCCGGCAUCGUCCCGCGCAUCUGGCCCAACGCGAGGUACCUCGAGGCCAUCGUCACCGGCGCCAUGGCGCAGUACGUUCCGGCCUUGGAAUACUACGCCGGCGGCCUGCCGUUGGUGUCCAUCUCCUACGCGUCCUCCGAGUGCUACUUCGGCAUCAAUCUUCAGCCGCUGUGCAACCCGACCGACGUGUCCUACACGGCUACACCAUCAUGCCCAACUAGGCCUACCUCGAGUUCCUCCGCGUGGACGACGCGACCACAGGAGAGGCCGUGGAGGCUGAAGGUGACGCGGCCCGGCUGGUGGACCUCGCCCGCGUGGAGGCUGGGCGGGAGUACUAGCUGGUGA
RNAcentral lists this ribosomal RNA (561 nucleotides) under Triticum aestivum (bread wheat). RNAcentral's name for it is "partial small subunit ribosomal RNA". The record is from RNAcentral. Lineage: Eukaryota; Viridiplantae; Streptophyta; Magnoliopsida; Poales; Poaceae.